GACGAACGCUGGCGGCGUGCCUAAUACAUGCAAGUCGAGCGGAUGAAAGAGGAGCUUGCUCCUCUAGAUUCAGCGGCGGACGGGUGAGUAACACGUGGGCAACCUGCCCUGUAGAUUGGGAUAACUCCGGGAAACCGGGGCUAAUACCGAAUAAUCCUUCGGACCUCAUGGUCCGAUGUUGAAAGACGGCAUCUCGCUGUCACUACAGGAUGGGCCUGCGGCGCAUUAGCUAGUUGGUGAGGUAACGGCUCACCAAGGCCACGAUGCGUAGCCGGCCUGAGAGGGUGAUCGGCCACACUGGGACUGAGACACGGCCCAGACUCCUACGGGAGGCAGCAGUAGGGAAUCUUCCACAAUGGACGAAAGUCUGAUGGAGCAACGCCGCGUGAGUGAAGAAGGUUCUCGGAUCGUAAAACUCUGUUGUGAGGGAAGAACAAGUACCGGAGUAACUGCCGGUGCCUUGACGGUACCUCAUUAGAAAGCCACGGCUAACUACGUGCCAGCCGCCGCGGUAA
RNAcentral lists this ribosomal RNA (515 nucleotides) under uncultured bacterium. RNAcentral describes it as "partial 16S ribosomal RNA". It matches the Rfam family "Bacterial small subunit ribosomal RNA", at positions 28 to 523 of the family's 1533-position model. The record is from RNAcentral.